Molecule: long non-coding RNA, 221 nt
Filed under: Homo sapiens (human)
Lineage: Eukaryota; Metazoa; Chordata; Mammalia; Primates; Hominidae
Description: HSALNT0404774
Source: RNAcentral
CCUAGGUGGGGGACAAAUAUUCAGACACUCAUAGAAGUCUGGAAUCCUAUGUGAGGGACAAACACUCUGAACUCAGCAGCAGUGUCCUGGAAUCCUAUGGGAGGGACAAACACUCAGAACCCAGUAGCAGUGUUGUAGAAUCCUUUGUGAGGGACAAACAUUCAUAACCUUGUAGCAGUGUUCUGGAAUCCUAUGUGAGGGAGAAACACUCAGAAUCCAGC